GUCGACGUGGACAUACUGAACAACGAAGAGGAGAAUCGGGAAUGCUUGAACAACGGUCAUAGAAAUAUUACAUAGGAAUUUUCCAUUGUCUUUGAUCAGAGAUUUUUCGUUUGCUACCCACUUUUAAUAAGUGAAUUUUUCUUUUUGAAUCCAGCCGCCAUUAAUUAUGCAAAUUUCCUGGUGGAGGAAUUACGAACUGCUCAUUCCAAUCUCAUUUCAUCCGUCGUCUGCUCUAAUUUAUUCACGCGUCAGACGCGUCACGCGGGUUUGUGUUUGAGAAAUAUUCUUCAGUCGUUCAGUGUCAGCCUCAGCCUUAUAGCCAUACGCUUCACAACCCCACACACACCCAAUUAAACUGUGUGACAGUAUAUUUUGCCUGAAAUAGCAUGAAUUCUAAUCUCCAGUCUACAUAGGAAUUCAAUCUAAAGUUCUGUUUCAUACCGAGCGAAUUCUGUUUCAGAAAUUCUGGAUCUCCUUGGUCCCAGACUUCAUUUCCAGUCCGAUCUGACUUCAACCCUAAUAGAAAUUCUUCAUAUUCAGCCAUAAUUUCUGGUCAAGGGGUUCCAUCAUGUUCUAGGCUUCUAGCAGUCAGGCAACAUUUACUAAUGGUUGCUCAGUAAGCAGUCUAGGAGAAUCGGACAGCUCUUCCACAAUGUUGUUGGAUAGAUCUACAGUUUGUGAAUCACCUGAAAGUGAAAAAGGUGCUCUAGGAGCUCCUAGGGAGUCUAUAAUGACACUGAAAAAACGGACAAAGACAAAAUAAAAACACUCAAGAAAUGCCAGCCUUGUAAUUUAUAACACACCAGUUAUACGUUACGCCAAGUUACAACCGAACGAAGUAAAGGAAGU
Molecule: long non-coding RNA, 849 nt
Organism: Daphnia pulicaria
Lineage: Eukaryota; Metazoa; Arthropoda; Branchiopoda; Diplostraca; Daphniidae
Exons: 3
Source: RefSeq, a predicted model, not a curated record